This 1344-nucleotide ribosomal RNA is filed under the name uncultured bacterium. Its description in RNAcentral is "16S ribosomal RNA". It matches the Rfam family "Bacterial small subunit ribosomal RNA", at positions 28 to 1378 of the family's 1533-position model. The record is from RNAcentral.
GACGAACGCUGGCGGCUGUGCUUAACACAUGCAAGUCGAACGGAAAGGCCCUGCUUUUGUGGGGUGCUCGAGUGGCGAACGGGUGAGUAACACGUGAGUAACCUGCCCUUGACUUUGGGAUAACUUCAGGAAACUGGGGCUAAUACCGGAUAGGAGCUCCUGCUGCAUGGUGGGGGUUGGAAAGUUUCGGCGGUUGGGGAUGGACUCGCGGCUUAUCAGCUUGUUGGUGGGGUAGUGGCUUACCAAGGCUUUGACGGGUAGCCGGCCUGAGAGGGUGACCGGCCACAUUGGGACUGAGAUACGGCCCAGACUCCUACGGGAGGCAGCAGUGGGGAAUAUUGCACAAUGGGCGGACGCCUGAUGCAGCAACGCCGCGUGCGGGAUGACGGCCUUCGGGUUGUAAACCGCUUUCGCCUGUGACGAAGCGUGAGUGACGGUAAUGGGUAAAGAAGCACCGGCUAACUACGUGCCAGCAGCCGCGGUGAUACGUAGGGUGCGAGCGUUGUCCGGAUUUAUUGGGCGUAAAGGGCUCGUAGGUGGUUGAUCGCGUCGGAAGUGUAAUCUUGGGGCUUAACCCUGAGCGUGCUUUCGAUACGGGUUGACUUGAGGAAGGUAGGGGAGAAUGGAAUUCCUGGUGGAGCGGUGGAAUGCGCAGAUAUCAGGAGGAACACCAGUGGCGAAGGCGGUUCUCUGGGCCUUUCCUGACGCUGAGGAGCGAAAGCGUGGGGAGCGAACAGGCUUAGAUACCCUGGUAGUCCACGCUGUAAACGGUGGGUACUAGGUGUGGGGUCCAUUCCACGGGUUCCGUGCCGUAGCUAACGCUUUAAGUACCCCGCCUGGGGAGUACGGCCGCAAGGCUAAAACUCAAAGGAAUUGACGGGGCCCCGCACAAGCGGCGGAGCAUGCGGAUUAAUUCGAUGCAACGCGUAGAACCUUACCUGGGUUUGACAUGGAUCGGGAGUGCUCAGAGAUGGGUGUGCCUCUUUUGGGGUCGGUUCACAGGUGGUGCAUGGCUGUCGUCAGCCCGUGUCGUGAGAUGUUGGGUUAAGUCCCGCAACGAGCGCAACCCUUGUUCACUGUUGCCAGCACGUUAUGGUGGGGACUCAGUGGAGACCGCCGGGGUCAACUCGGAGGAAGGUGGGGAUGACGUCAAGUCAUCAUGCCCCUUAUGUCCAGGGCUUCACGCAUGCUACAAUGGCUGGUACAGAGAGUGGCGAGCCUGUGAGGGUGAGCGAAUCUCGGAAAGCCGGUCUCAGUUCGGAUUGGGGUCUGCAACUCGACCUCAUGAAGUCGGAGUCGCUAGUAAUCGCAGAUCAGCAACGCUGCGGUGAAUACGUUCCCGGG